This 483-nucleotide ribosomal RNA is filed under the name uncultured Acinetobacter sp. RNAcentral's name for it is "bacterial SSU rRNA". It matches the Rfam family "Bacterial small subunit ribosomal RNA", at positions 30 to 505 of the family's 1533-position model. Lineage: Bacteria; Pseudomonadati; Pseudomonadota; Gammaproteobacteria; Moraxellales; Moraxellaceae. The record is from RNAcentral.
AUUGAACGCUGGCGGCAGGCUUAACACAUGCAAGUCGAGCGGAGAGAGGUAGCUUGCUACCGAUCUUAGCGGCGGACGGGUGAGUAAUGCUUAGGAAUCUGCCUAUUAGUGGGGGACAACAUUUCGAAAGGAAUGCUAAUACCGCAUACGUCCUACGGGAGAAAGCAGGGGAUCUUCGGACCUUGCGCUAAUAGAUGAGCCUAAGUCGGAUUAGCUAGUUGGUGGGGUAAAGGCCUACCAAGGCGACGAUCUGUAGCGGGUCUGAGAGGAUGAUCCGCCACACUGGGACUGAGACACGGCCCAGACUCCUACGGGAGGCAGCAGUGGGGAAUAUUGGACAAUGGGCGGAAGCCUGAUCCAGCCAUGCCGCGUGUGUGAAGAAGGCCUUAUGGUUGUAAAGCACUUUAAGCGAGGAGGAGGCUACUUUAGUUAAUACCUAGAGAUAGUGGACGUUACUCGCAGAAUAAGCACCGGCUAACUCUG